Molecule: ribosomal RNA, 428 nt
Filed under: uncultured bacterium
Lineage: Bacteria
Description: bacterial SSU rRNA
Rfam family: Bacterial small subunit ribosomal RNA
Source: RNAcentral
UGGGGAAUUUUGCGCAAUGGGCGAAAGCCUGACGCAGCAACGCCGCGUGAGGGAUGAAGGUUUUAGGAUCGUAAACCUCUGUCAGAAGGGAAGAACCACCUGUAGUAUAAUACACUGCAGGCUUGACGGUACCUUCAAAGGAAGCACCGGCUAACUCCGUGCCAGCAGCCGCGGUAAUACGGAGGGUGCAAGCGUUGUUCGGAAUUAUUGGGCGUAAAGCGCGUGUAGGCGGUUUUUUAAGUCUGAUGUGAAAGCCCCGGGCUUAACCUGGGAAGUGCAUUGGAAACUGGAAGACUUGAGUACGGGAGAGGAAAGCGGAAUUUCGAGUGUAGGGGUGAAAUCCGUAGAUAUUCGAAGGAACACCAGUGGCGAAGGCGGCUUUCUGGACCGAUACUGACGCUGAGACGCGAGAGCGUGGGGAGCAAACA